AAAACUCACCAGGUCAGGACAGGUAAGGAUUGACGGACUGAAGGCUUCUUUCUCGAUUCCGUGGAAAGUGGUGCAUGGCCGUUUUUGGUUGGUGGAUCGAUCCGUCUGGUUAAUUCCGUUAACGAACGAGACCUCGGCACUCCGAAUAGCGCGGCGGACGUCGCGGCCUCCGGGCCGUCUUCCGCACGAGCUUCUUAGAGGGACCGUCCCCCCGCCGGGGAAGGAGGUGCGAGGCAACGACAGGUCUGUGAUGCCCUUAGAUGUUCUGGGCCGCACGCGCAUUACACUGACGCGUCCAACGGGUGACCUCCCGACCCGAAGGGGCCGGGGAAUCCGCAAGGCGCGUCGUGAUGGGGAUUGAACGUUGCAAUUGUUGUUCACGAACGAGGAAUUCCUAGUAGGCGCGGGUCAUCAACCCGCGCCGAUUACGUCCCCUGCCCUUUGUACACACCGC
This 454-nucleotide ribosomal RNA is filed under the name uncultured eukaryote. RNAcentral describes it as "bacterial SSU rRNA". It matches the Rfam family "Eukaryotic small subunit ribosomal RNA", at positions 1210 to 1672 of the family's 1831-position model. The record is from RNAcentral.